UUUCCUGGUUGAUCCUGCCGGACCUGACUGCUAUCGGAUUGGUACUAAGCCAUGCGAGUCGUUGUACAAUACAAGGCGGACUGCUCAGUAACACGUAGUUAACUUAACCUAUGGAUGGGCAUAACCUCGGGAAACUGAGAAUAAUACCCAAUGGACCACAGUGCCUGGAAUGGCCUGUGGUUGAAAUGAUUUAUCGCCGUAGGAUAGGACUGCGGCCUAUCAGCUUGUUGGUGAGGUAAUGGCCCACCAAGGCUAUAACAGGUACGGGCUCUGAGAGGAGGGGCCCGGAGAUGGGUACUGAGACACGGACCCAGGCCCUAUGGGGCGCAGCAGGCGAGAAACCUUUGCAAUGUGCGUAAGCACGACAAGGUUAAUCCGAGUGUCUCCUGCUAAAGGAGUCUUUUGUCAGUUGUAGAAUCACUGGUGAAUAAGGGGUGGGCAAGUUCUGGUGUCAGCCGCCGCGGUAAAACCAGCACCUCGAGUGGUCAGGAGGUUUAUUGGGCCUAAAGCAUCCGUAGCCGGUUGCAUAAGUUUUCGGUUAAAUCUAUGCGCUCAACGUAUAGGCCGCCGAAAAUACUGUGCAGCUAGGGAGUGGGAGAGG
RNAcentral lists this ribosomal RNA (601 nucleotides) under uncultured archaeon. RNAcentral's name for it is "bacterial SSU rRNA". It matches the Rfam family "Archaeal small subunit ribosomal RNA", at positions 1 to 608 of the family's 1478-position model. The record is from RNAcentral.